This 253-nucleotide ribosomal RNA is filed under the name uncultured bacterium. Its description in RNAcentral is "partial 16S ribosomal RNA". It matches the Rfam family "Bacterial small subunit ribosomal RNA", at positions 524 to 776 of the family's 1533-position model. The record is from RNAcentral.
CACGGGGGGAGCAAGCGUUGUUCGGAAUCACUGGGCGUAAAGAGCGUGUAGGCGGUCCGGUAAGUCAGCUGUGAAAGUCAAGGGCUCAACCCUUGAAAGCCGGUUGAUACUGUCGGGCUAGAGUCCGGAAGAGGCGAGUGGAAUUCCCGGUGUAGCGGUGAAAUGCGCAGAUAUCGGGAGGAACACCAAUGGCGAAGGCAGCUCGCUGGGACGGUACUGACGCUGAGACGCGAAAGCGUGGGGAGCAAACAGG